RNAcentral lists this ribosomal RNA (951 nucleotides) under uncultured euryarchaeote. Its description in RNAcentral is "bacterial SSU rRNA". It matches the Rfam family "Archaeal small subunit ribosomal RNA", at positions 381 to 1332 of the family's 1478-position model. The record is from RNAcentral. Lineage: Archaea; Methanobacteriati; Methanobacteriota.
CCGAGUGGUUUCUGCUAAAGAAACCUUUUGUCAGUCCUAGAAACACUAACGAAUAAGGGGUGGGCAAGUUCUGGUGUCAGCCGCCGCGGUAAAACCAGCACCUCAAGUGGUCAGGAUGAUUAUUGGGCCUAAAGCACCCGUAGCUCGUUUUGUAAGUUUUCGGUUAAAUCCAUGCGCUUAACGUAUGGGCUGCCGGGAAUACUGCAUAACUAGGAAGUGGGAGAGGUAGACGGUACUCGGUAGGAAGGGGUAAAAUCCUUUGAUCUAUUGAUGACCACCUGUGGCGAAGGCGGUCUACCAGAACACGUUCGACGGUGAGGGAUGAAAGCUGGGGGAGCAAACCGGAUUAGAUACCCGGGUAGUCCCAGCUGUAAACUAUGCAAACUCAGUGAUGCAUUGGCUUGUGGCCAAUGCAGUGCUGCAGGGAAGCCGUUAAGUUUGCCGCCUGGGAAGUACGUACGCAAGUAUGAAACUUAAAGGAAUUGGCGGGGGAGCACCACAAGGGGUGAAGCCUGCGGUUCAAUUGGAGUCAACGCCAGAAAUCUUACCCGGAGAGACAGCAGAAUGAAGGUCAAGCUGAAGACUUUACCAGACAAGCUGAGAGGUGGUGCAUGGCCGUCGCCAGCUCGUGCCGUGAGAUGUCCUGUUAAGUCAGGUAACGAGCGAGAUCCCUGCCUCUAGUUGCCACCAUUACUCUCAGGAGUAGUGGGGCGAAUUAGCGGGACCGCCGCAGUUAAUGCGGAGGAAGGAGGGGGCCACGGCAGGUCAGUAUGCCCCGAAACUCUGGGGCCACACGCGGGCUGCAAUGGUAAGGACAAUGGGUUUCAAUCCCGAAAGGGGGAGGUAAUCCGUAAACCUUACCACAGUUAUGAUUGAGGGCUGAAACUCGCCCUCAUGAAUAUGGAAUCCCUAGUAACCGCGUGUCAUCAUCGCGCGGUGAAUACGUCCCUG